This 75-nucleotide transfer RNA is filed under the name Candidatus Saccharimonadota bacterium. RNAcentral's name for it is "tRNA-Gln". It matches the Rfam family "tRNA". From Rfam's summary of the family: Transfer RNA (tRNA) molecules are approximately 80 nucleotides in length. Their secondary structure includes four short double-helical elements and three loops (D, anti-codon, and T loops). The record is from RNAcentral. Lineage: Bacteria; Candidatus Saccharimonadota.
UAGGACGUCGCCAAGUGGUAAGGCACCAGUUUUUGGUACUGGCAUUCGUAGGUUCGAAUCCUACCGUCCUAGCCA